Molecule: non-coding RNA, 2563 nt
Organism: Microcebus murinus (gray mouse lemur)
Lineage: Eukaryota; Metazoa; Chordata; Mammalia; Primates; Cheirogaleidae
Source: RefSeq, a predicted model, not a curated record
CUCAGCCUCCCAGGUUGCUGGGAUUACAGGCAUGAGCCACUGCACCUGGCCCAACACUUUUUUUUCUGGAACUUCAGUUAUAUGUGUGUUAGACUACUUGACAUCACCCCACAGGUCACUAAGUCUUUGUCCAUUCAUUUUAGUCCUUUUUUCCCCUGCUCUGUGCUUCAGUCUGAAUCAUUUCAGUUGCUUUCUUUCAAAUUCACUCUUUUAUUCAGUAGUGUCCAUUUGUUAUUAAGCCAAUCCAUUUUUCAUUUCAAAAUUUUUAUAUCUAGAACUCUGGCUUUUAAAAAUAUAUUCAUUUUCUCAUUAUGUUCCAUGUUUUGCCAUAAAUCUGGACAUAUUUCCAACAGCUGUUUUAAAUUCCUUGUCUGCUAAUUAUAUCAUUGUUGGAUAUGUUUCUUUUUACUGAUUUUUCUACUUUUUAUGAAUCAUAUUCUCUGGCUUCUUGAGAAUGUCUAGUAACUUUGAUUGGAUGCUAGAUAUAUUAUCCUCUUGAGUGUCUGGAUUUUGUGGCUUCCCUUAAAGAGUGUUGAGUUUGCUUUAGCUGGCAGCUAAACUGCUUGCAGAUCAACUUGAUCCUUUCAAGGCUAGAGUGGCCAUUAUUUUAGGACUAUUUUAGGCCUGCUACUUAAGUGUGACCCUUCUGGAAUCCUUAUUGAAUACCUCAGGUGUUUAGUGAAGUCUCUUUACUCUGGCUGGCUGGAAUUCAAAUGUCUCUUGGCACUGUGUUCAUUCUGGGAACUGUCCAGUUUACAGAUACCUGGUUAUUUCCUCCCCAUCUGGAGUUUCAUCCUACACAAAUACAACUAAGUUUUUAGCAAGAUUCUAGGGGAACCCUUUCUGAAGAAAUUUCUGGAGCUCUUUCUCUAUUUAAAUUUCUUCUUGCCAGUAUUUUGGCUUUGACACUCCAAUCUCUGACUCAGCAAACUGAUGAGCUUGGCUUGGCUCCCACUCCAGAUGCUGUGGCGCAGACUGUGCAUCCAGGCACAAGCCUGGGUACUCACAAGGCUUAUCUUAUUUGUUUCCCUUUUUCCAGGGAUCUUAGUCCUGCGCUAAUUGUUGCAAUGUCUAAAUGCAGGUGUUGGCUCUCUGGUCCUCCCGUUCGACAGACAGCCGCAUCUUCUCACGCAGCGCCAACACCAUCUCCGAGACACCAUGGUGAAAGUGAAGGCCAGAAUAAACAGCUUUGGCUGUGUUGGGCCCCUGGUCACCAGGGUUGCUUUUAACUCUGGCAAAGUGGAUAUUGUCACCAUCAACAACCCCUUCAUUGACCUCAACUACAUGAUCUACAUGUUCCAGUAUGACUCCAUCCACGGCAAGUUCCAUGGCACGGUCAAGGCGGAGAACGGGAAGCUUGUCAUCAAUGGCCAGCCCAUAACUAUCUUCCAGGAGCGAGAUACCACCAAAAUCAAAUGGAGUGAAGCGGGUGCUGAUUACGUUGUGGAGGCCACUGGUCUCUUCACUACCCUGGAGAAGGCCAGGGCUCACCUAGAUGGGGGUGCUAAAAGGGUCAUCAUCUCUGCCACCUCUGCUGAUGCCCCCAUGUUUGUGAUGGGGGUGAACCACGACAAGUACCAAAACAACCACACCAUCGUCAGCAAUGCCUCCUGCACCACCAACUGCUUAGCCCCCCUGGCCAAAGUCAUCCAUGACAAUUUUGGCAUCAUGGAGGGACUCAAGACCACAGUCCAUGCUGUCACCGCCACCCAGAAGACCGUUGAUGGCCCCUCUGGGAAGAUGUGGCAUGAUGGUCGUGGGGCUCUCCAGAACAUCAUCCCUGCGUUGACUGGCGCAGCCAAGGCUGUGGGCAAGGUCAUCCGCGAGCUGAAUGGGAAGCUCACUGGCAUGGCCUUCCGCAUGCCCACUGCCAACGUGUCUAUGGUGGACCUGACCUGCUGUCUGGAGAAGCCGGCCAAGUAUGAUGACAUCCAGGUGGUGGUGAAGCAGGCGGCGGAUGGCCCUCUCAAGGGCAUCCUGGACUACACUAAGCACCAGGUUGUCUCCUCCGACUUCAACAGUGACACCCACUCUUCCACCUUUGAUGCUGGGGCUGGCAUCGCCCUCGACGACCACUUUGUAAAGCUCGUUGCCUGGUAUGACAAUGAAUUUGGCUAUAGCAACAGGGUGGUGGACCUCAUGGUCCACAUGGCCACCAAGGAGUAAGAGUCCUGGACCAUCAGCCCCAGCCAGAGCACCAAGGAAGAGAGGGGCCUCAGCCGCUGGGGUGUCCCUGCCUCCUCAGUCCCCACCUCACUGAGAAUCUCCCCUCCUCACAACGCAGUUUCCAUGCCAGAGUCCCUGAAGAAUGGGAGGGGCCUAGGAAGCCCCACCUUGUUGCGUAUCAUCAAUAAAGUUCACUGUACCAGGCCAAAAAAAUAAACUAAAAUAAAUGCAGGUGUUUUAAUCAUUUUUCACAGAUCUACAAAAAGUAAUUCUAUGCUUCCUAUGGAACCAGAGAAGACCCGAUAUAGCAAAAACAGUCUUAAACAAAACGAACAAAUUGGGAGGCAUCAGUUUACUAGACUUCAAGCUACACUACAAGGCUGUACUAACUAAAACA